RNAcentral lists this ribosomal RNA (1402 nucleotides) under uncultured bacterium. Its description in RNAcentral is "16S ribosomal RNA". It matches the Rfam family "Bacterial small subunit ribosomal RNA". The record is from RNAcentral.
AGAGUUUGAUCCUGGCUCAAAACGAACUCUGGCGGCGUGCAUAAUACAUGCAAGUCGAACGAUAGAAUUUCUGGCUUGCUUAUAAUUCUGUAGUGGCGCAGCGGGUGAGUAACACCUGAGUAACGUCACCCCGAGAGCGGCAUAGCCUUGCGAAUCUGGGAUUAAUACCGCAUAGUGAUCGACAUGAUUAAAGCAGCAAUGCUCUUGGGGAUCGAGCUCGCGGCCUAUUAGUUAUGUUGGUGAGGUAACGGCUCACCACGCGCCAUGACGGAGUAUCCGGUAUGAGAUGGAUGUCCGACCACACUCGACAUGAGACUCGGUCCAGACUACCUACUCGUGGCAGCAGUCGACGAAUCAUUCACAAUGGGCGAGAAACCGUGAUCGUGAGACACCGCGUGGGGGAAGUAAAGAGUCUUUGAGAUUGUAAACCCCUGUUAUGUGGGACGCAAAUUAAAAAGAUAGUACCACAAGAGGAAGAGUACGGCUAACUCUGUGCCAGCAGCCGCGGUAAUACAGAGGUGCUCCAGCGUUGUUCGGAAUCACUGGGCGUAAAGCGUGCGUAGGCUGUCUUAGUAAGUCGUGUGUGAAAGGCGCGGGCUCAACCCGCGGACGUGCACUAUGAUACUGCGAGACUAGAGUAAUGGAGGGGGAACCGGAAUUCUCGGUGUAGCAGUGAAAUGCGUAGAUAUUGAGAGGAACACUAGUGGCGAAGGCGGCUUCCUGGACAUUAACUGACGCUGAGGCACGAAGACCAGGGGAGCGAACGGGAUUAGAUACCCCUGUAGUCCUGCCAGUAAACCGGUGCACUGACUUGGUGUGCGGGGAAUCACCCCCUUCGGUGCCGGAGCCAACGCGUUAAGUGUUCCGCCUGGGGAGUACGGUCGCAAGAUUCAAACUCAAAGAAAUUGACGGGGACCCGCACAAGCGGUGGAUGCUAUGUGGUUUAAUUGAUGCAACGCGAAGAACCUUACCUGGUCCUUGACAUCUAUAUGAACAGCCUGUGAAUCCUCCUGUCUCUUCGGGGGCGAUAUGACGGCCUGGUGCGGCAUUGCUGUGGUCCUCUUGUGUUGCCAGAUGUUUGGUUAAGUCCCCGAUCUCGGGCCACCCCUGUUCCCACUUACCCUCAGGUCGGGCCGGGGACUUUGGCGAGACUGCCCGGAACAACUGGGAGGAAGGUGGGGACGACGUCACCUCAUCAUGGCCCUUAUGCUCUGGGCUGCACACGUACUACAAUGCCCUAAACACAGUGGGCCGAAGCUGUGAGGCUGAGGAAAUCACAAAAAUCAGGUCUCAUUCGGCCUUGAGGCUGCAAACUGCCUUCAACAAGCUGGCAAUUCUAUUAAUGGCGCAUCAGGUAUGGCGCGGUGAAUACGUUCCCGGUUCUUGUACACACCGCCCGUCA